UGAGGAAUAUUGGUCAAUGGGCGAGAGCCUGAACCAGCCAAGUCGCGUGAAGGAUGACUGUCUUAUGGAUUGUAAACUUCUUUUAUACGGGAAUAACAAGAGCCACGUGUGGCUCCCUGCAUGUACCGUAUGAAUAAGCAUCGGCUAACUCCGUGCCAGCAGCCGCGGUAAUACGGAGGAUGCGAGCGUUAUCCGGAUUUAUUGGGUUUAAAGGGUGCGUAGGCGGCCUGUUAAGUCAGCGGUGAAAUCUAGGAGCUUAACUCCUAAAUUGCCAUUGAUACUGGCGGGCUUGAGUGUAGAUGAGGUAGGCGGAAUGCGUGGUGUAGCGGUGGAAUGCAUAGAUAUCACGCAGAACUCCGAUUGCGAAGGCAGCUUACUACGGUACAACUGACGCUGAAGCACGAAAGCGUGGGUAUCAAACAGGAUUAGAUACCCUGGUAGUCCACGCAGUAAACGAUGAUAACUGGGCGUAUGCGAUAUACAGUAUGCUCCUAAGCGAAAGCGUUAAGUUAUCCACCUGGGGAGUACGCCGGNNCGGU
RNAcentral lists this ribosomal RNA (539 nucleotides) under uncultured bacterium. RNAcentral's name for it is "bacterial SSU rRNA". It matches the Rfam family "Bacterial small subunit ribosomal RNA", at positions 355 to 895 of the family's 1533-position model. The record is from RNAcentral.